Molecule: non-coding RNA, 657 nt
Organism: Callorhinus ursinus (northern fur seal)
Lineage: Eukaryota; Metazoa; Chordata; Mammalia; Carnivora; Otariidae
Source: RefSeq, a predicted model, not a curated record
AAUAUAAAAUAUAAAAAAAUACAAAAAAGUUGAAAGAAAAACCAAUGAUCAUUUACCCAGUAUUCCUACUUGCUACUCACCUUAAGAAAUACAACGGUCCUAGUAACUUUAACAAGCUUGUGGGCAUACUGUAUUUUCCUCUUUGCCCUUGAGAAGCAACCACUACCAUGACUUUUGUGUUAAUAAUUCCUUCACUUUUCUGUCUGGUUUUAUGGACACGUGUACUUAACAUGUUUUUGACGUGUAUUUAAUUGAAAUCAUACUUAGUAAUCUUGCUUGCUUUUCCCAACACUGAGAUUCAUCGAUGUUGAUAUAUUCCUGUUGGUGUAUUAGCUGUCGUUGAUUCUUUUUCACUGCUUUGUGGUAUUUUGUUGUCUGAAUAUACCAUAUGUAAUUCAACCAAAUAUUGGUGAACAUGGUGUUUCCACGCCUCGUUUAUCUAGUAGAGUUUUUGGAACCAGUCUCACAAUUGUUUCUAUUAACUGGUGAGUUAAAUCCAUUUCCUUUUAUUAUGAUUACUAACCUAUAUGGGUUUAUUUCUACCAUCUCAUUACAAGCUUUCUGUCCCACUUUGGCUUUUUUUUUACCCCACCCCCUAUUUCUUGCCUUCUUAUGGUUUGAUUUUACUAUCUUCUGGUCAGAAAGGGAGAAGCAGGU